GAUCAUAGCUCAGGAUGAACGCUAGCUACAGGCUUAACACAUGCAAGUCGAGGGGAAACGACAUUGAAAGCUUGCUUUUAAUGGGCGUCGACCGGCGCACGUGUGCGUAACGCGUAUCGAACCUGUCCCUUUACUCGAGGGAUAGCCUUGCGAAAGUAAGAUUAAUACCUGAUAGUGUUGCGAUGAGGCAUCUUGUUGCAAACUAAAGAUUUAUUAGGUAAAGGAUGGCGAUGCGU
RNAcentral lists this ribosomal RNA (236 nucleotides) under uncultured bacterium. RNAcentral describes it as "partial 16S ribosomal RNA". It matches the Rfam family "Bacterial small subunit ribosomal RNA", at positions 15 to 236 of the family's 1533-position model. The record is from RNAcentral.